CCCAUCCUGUUUCCACUUCUACAGCAUUUCCUUCUUUAAAUUAUUAGUAGCAAGGCAAAGAAGAAGCUCUUUCUCCUACUUGAAAAGAGAGACGGUUGUCACCUUGCCACUUGACUAACAAGAAGCCUUGUCUUUAAUAUGGUCUCACCACGGGCAAGCUGUGUGACCUUGGCCCUCAUUGCAAAUGCAAUUUUGAUGCCCUUGAUGAGAGAUCUGGGAUUACAAUUCCUGACCAUUUCAACAGACAUUUGGGGAAGGAAAUGGAAGAAGAAUAAUUUUGAGGUCUCUCCAAAAACCAAAGGAGAAUAAAAGAGAAAUUCAACCGGAGCCGCAGAAGCUGCGACAAGGAUGAGCCGGAUCCUCUAAGCUUGCCAGGAAAGCUGAUUCCCACCCCACCCCCACGGUUCCCAGAGGAGCAACCGGUUCAUUCCACCACCACCCCCCGCCAGCCCCAGGACGUUGGCUCUGCGGGUGCCCCCCACCCAGCCGCCGGGCGCCUGGGACCCGGUUGGAAAAACUGCGGUGCAGUCAGCCGGAGGCAAAGGGUGGGGGCAGCCGUUUAAUCACCGCUCGCCUCGCCUCCAUUAACUUGUAUUGAUAUUAAAAAGAAAUCAAUCAGUGAAAAUGAA
Long non-coding RNA from Felis catus (domestic cat), 629 nucleotides. RefSeq lists it as uncharacterized. The record is from RefSeq and is a predicted model, not a curated record. The transcript has 3 exons. NCBI's taxonomy places the organism in Eukaryota, Metazoa, Chordata, Mammalia, Carnivora, Felidae.